CACAAGUCCGUGCAAGGAGGCGGCGGUGGUGAGCUGAACGACAACCUACUUUGCAUAAAAUUGUGGGGGGUCCACAAUUUUCACAUGUGAUUCUUCGAGGUACCAACAUUUUUCCUUUAAGAACCCAGAGAAUAAUUCUCAGGGACCUUUUUUAGGGGUCCCAGGACUGUCUACAAGCGACCCCGGCGGGGAGGCAGGAACCAUCACAGAGGGCGUAAAGACAAGAUAUCAAAACAAAAUGAAAUCCAUUCCCAAGACACAGCCGACCAGUCGCAAUCAGAGGAAAUAAUCAAGACAACACACAAUGUGAUGGACUGAAAGAUUUGUAUGGCCACCAGCAGAGCUACUGGAAGAUUUAGCACGUCUUCUGAAGCAUUUUCACAAGUAUUAUAAUAUAAAUGGGCCUUCAUUUUAUUUCAUU
Hyla sarda is the source of this 421-nucleotide long non-coding RNA. RefSeq lists it as uncharacterized. The record is from RefSeq and is a predicted model, not a curated record. Lineage: Eukaryota; Metazoa; Chordata; Amphibia; Anura; Hylidae. The transcript has 3 exons.